Molecule: ribosomal RNA, 274 nt
Filed under: uncultured bacterium
Lineage: Bacteria
Description: partial 16S ribosomal RNA
Rfam family: Bacterial small subunit ribosomal RNA
Source: RNAcentral
AUACAGAGGGUGCGAGCGUUAAUCGGAAUUACUGGGCGUAAAGCGCGCGUAGGCGGCUUGGUCAGUCGGAUGUGAAAGCCCCGGGCUCAACCUGGGAAUGGCAUUCGAUACUGCCAGGCUAGAGUAUGUGAGAGGGAAGUGGAAUUUCCGGUGUAGCGGUGAAAUGCGUAGAUAUCGGAAGGAACACCAGUGGCGAAGGCGACUUCCUGGCCCAAUACUGACGCUGAGGUGCGAAAGCGUGGGGAGCGAACAGGAUUAGAAACCCUAGUAGUCC